RNAcentral lists this ribosomal RNA (1933 nucleotides) under Plasmodium falciparum 365.1. RNAcentral's name for it is "eukaryotic LSU rRNA". It matches the Rfam family "Eukaryotic large subunit ribosomal RNA", at positions 1120 to 2697 of the family's 3401-position model. The record is from RNAcentral. Lineage: Eukaryota; Apicomplexa; Aconoidasida; Haemosporida; Plasmodiidae.
CUCCAAGUGGGCCAUUUUUGGUAAGCAGAACUGGCGAUGAGGGAUGCUCCUAACGCUUGGAUAAGGUGCCUAAAUAUUCGCUCAUGAGAUCCCAUAAAAGGUGUUGGUUCAUAAUGACAGUAGGACGGUGGUCAUGGAAGUCGAAAUCCGCUAAGGAGUGUGUAACAACUCACCUACCGAAUGAACUAGCCCUGAAAAUGGAUGGCGCUAAAGCGGAUUACCGAUACCAAGCCAUAAAAAGAACAGAAAAAAUUUAUUUUUUUUUUAGAAUCUUUUUAUGAGUAGAAAAUCGUGGGGUUUGUGUUGAAGCGAAAUACGUGAGUUUUCGUGGAACAUCUCCCUAGUGCAGAUCUUGGUGGAAGUAGCAACUAUUCAAAUGAGAACUUUGAAGACUGAAGUGGAGAAGGGUUUCUUGUCAACUGUGAUUGAACAAGAGUUAGCCGCUCCUAAGGGAUAGCUGAAAAGUGUUUAAAAGGGGUUCCUUCCCCGUCUCAAAAGGGAAACAGGUUGAUAUUCCUGUGCCAAUAGUAUUAUGAGUUUCUUAGAUGGUAACAUAUAUAUAAAUGAACUCCUUUACAUAGGCUUUACACUCGGGGUGCGUUUUCUUUGCACUUUACCUUUAUAACAAACCUUGGAAUCAAUUUACUUGGAGAAGAGGUUCGUUGAACUCAAUUCAAAAAAUUUCUUGAACGGGGUUUUCGGAUUCAGUUCAUUUUAUUUUUUGUUUUGUAGCAAUAGUAAUUCGUUUUUAUGAAUUAUCCGAAGUGGUAAGGACUAUCCUUGAAAAAAGGAGGGAACGGCUUUGUAAACUUGGUUUCUUCUGAUUCCAUUUUGCUUUGCUAUACUCUUAAUACUUGUAUGAGCGUACCAACAACCGCAUCAGGUCUCCAAGGUUAACAGCCUCUGGUUAAAUAGAAAAAAGUAGGUAAGGGAAGUCGGCAAAUAGAUCCGUAACUUCGGAAAAGGAUUGGCUCUGAGGACAUUAGAAAAGAGAAGAAAAAAAGAGGGUCGAAAAUAAAAUUGCAGUCUUUAUUUGCUUUUCUUUCGAUUUGCUUGUAAUCUGCUUUUUCUUUUUCUUCUUUCUUUUUUUCUCCCCCUCUUUUCGCCUUCACUUUAUUGUAAUUUUAUUACUUUAAUUUGAUACCUAUAAUGUUAACUCAGAACUGAAACGGACAAGGGGAAUCCGACUGUUUAAUUAAAACAUAGCAUUGUGAAAAGCCACAACUGGUAUUAACACAAUGUGAUUUCUGCCCAGUGCUUUGAAUGUCAACUUGAUGAAAUUCAAUCAAGCGCAGGUAAACGGCGGGAGUAACUAUGACUCUCUUAAGUAGCCAAAUGCCUCGUCAUCUAAUUAGUGACGCGCAUGAAUGGAUUAACGAGAUUCCCACUGUCCCUACUUGCUAUCUAGCGAAACCACAGCCAAGGGAACGGGCUUGGCAAAAUCAGCGGGGAAAGAAGACCCUGUUGAGCUUUACUCUAGUCUGGCUUUGUGAAACGACUUAAGAGGUGUAGCAUAAGUGGGGAAAGAAGACCCUGUUGAGCUUUACUCUAGUCUGGCUUUGUGAAACGACUUAAGAGGUGUAGCAUAAGUGGGAGUAGAAACUGAAAUAUGUUUUUACGACAGUGAAAUACCACUACUUUUAAAGUUGUUUUACUUAUCCAUUUAUAGGGAAAUAUAUAAUAUGUUUUUACGACAGUGAAAUACCACUACUUUUAAAGUUGUUUUACUUAUCCAUUUAUAGGGAAAUAUAUUAUGCUUUAUCCUUCGGGAAGGCAUUCUGAUAUUAUUUGAAUUUUUAAGAAACUUGUUUCUUAUUUUUCUCCCAUUUCUAUGGAGACAUAGCCAGGUGGGGAGUUUGACUGGGGCGGUACAUCUGUUAAAUAUUAACGCAGAUGUCCAAAGACAAGCUCAAAGAGAACAGAAAUCUCUUGU